This 181-nucleotide non-coding RNA is filed under the name Candidatus Enterococcus clewellii. RNAcentral describes it as "Enterococcus sp. 9E7_DIV0242 Listeria sRNA rliD". It matches the Rfam family "Listeria sRNA rliD", at positions 27 to 207 of the family's 327-position model. Lineage: Bacteria; Bacillati; Bacillota; Bacilli; Lactobacillales; Enterococcaceae. The record is from Rfam by way of RNAcentral.
CUUGCAUCUUUAGAAGCAACAGCUGCACUCAGUACAACGGUAUCGCCAUAACGAACCAAUACUGCACCAUUUGCCUGCUUUGCCAUUUGACCAAUUUCAACUUGCAGAGGGCGUCCGCCCCAAGUGGUUUUAAAUACUUGUUUCUCUGACAUAAAAAAUCUCCUUCUCUCUAUUGAAAGUA